GAGAAAGUUACUAAGAGCGCAUGGGGGAUGCCCUGGCUCUCAGAGGCGAAGAAGGACGUGAUAAGCUGCGAUAAGCUCCGGGGAGGUGCAAAUAACCAUUGAUCCGGGGAUUUCCGAAUGGGACAACCCGGCCACAGCGAUGUGGUCACCCACCAAGUGGGGGCAAACGCGGGGAACUGAAACAUCUAAGUACCCGCAGGAAGAGAAAAUAACAAUGAUUCCGCAAGUAGUGGCGAGCGAACGCGGAAGAGCCCAAACCGGGGAUGUUGAGGCAUGCCCGGGGUUGUAGGACUUCGACACCGUGGAAGUUUGUGAACGGGAACGGUCUGGGAAGGCCGUCCGCAGAGGGUGAAAGGCCCGUACCGGCAAGCAAACCACACGCAGAAGGAUCCUGAGUAGGGCGGGACCGGAGGAAUCCUGUCUGAAGCAGGCGGCACCAUCCGCCAAGGCUAAAUACUCCUGAGAGACCGAUAGCGAACAAGUACUGUGAAGGAAAGGUGAAAAGAACCCCGAACAGGGGAGUGAAACAGAACCUGAAACCGUGCGCUUACAAGCGGUCGGAGCCCCUUUGUGGGGUGACGGCGUGCCUUUUGCAUAAUGAGCCUACGAGUUGCCGUGCAUGGCGAGGUUAAGCCUCUGAGAGGCGGAACCGAAGCGAAAGCGAGUCUGAAGAGGGCGCUUAGUCAUGCAAGGCAGACGCGAAACUUAGUGAUCUACAUGCGUCCAGGCUGAAGUUGCGCUAAACCGCAAUGGAGGGCCGAACCAGUAAACGUUGAAAAGUUUUUGGAUGAGGUGCGUGUAGGAGUGAAAGGCCAAUCAAACUGAGAGAUAGCUCGUACUCUCCGAAAUGCCUUUAGGGGCAGCCUCGUGUAUGGUAUGCCAGAGGUAAAGCUACUGAUUGGAUGCGGGGGUUUCACCGCCUACCAAAUCCUGACAAACUCUGAAUGCUGGCAUAUUGAAUCGCGGGAGUGAGGCUUCGGGUGCUAACGUCCGGGGCCGAGAGGGGAACAACCCAGACCAUCGGUUAAGGUCCCAGAAUCCGCGUUAAGUUGAGAAGAACGGCGUCCCGCUGCACAGACAGCUAGGAUGUUGGCUUGGAAGCAGCCAUUCAUUCAAAGAGUGCGUAACAGCUCACUAGUAGAGUGGCGGGGCAUGGAUAAUAAUCGGGCAUGAAACGCGGUACCGAAACUGUGGGAUAGCGAUAUCGGUAGGAGAGCAUUGCAAGCUGCGGAGAAGGUGUGGCGCGAGCCGUGCUGGAGCGCUUGGAAGAGCAAAUGUAGGCAUAAGUAACGACAAGGCGGGCGAGAAACCCGCCCACCGAAAGAUCAAGGUUUCCCGGCCAACGUUAAUCGGACCGGGGUAAGUCGGGGCCUAACGGGGAGCCAGGGUAACUGGC
This 1396-nucleotide ribosomal RNA is filed under the name Bacteroidales bacterium. Its description in RNAcentral is "partial 23S ribosomal RNA". It matches the Rfam family "Bacterial large subunit ribosomal RNA", at positions 1 to 1410 of the family's 2925-position model. Lineage: Bacteria; Pseudomonadati; Bacteroidota; Bacteroidia; Bacteroidales. The record is from RNAcentral.